AACGAACGCUGGCGGCAUGCCUAACACAUGCCAGUCGAACGAGACCUUCGGGUCUAGUGGCGCACGGGUGCGUAACGCGUGGGAACCUGCCCUUAGGUUCGGAAUAACUCCCUGAAAGGGGUGCUAAUACCGGAUAAUGUCUUCGGACCAAAGAUUUAUCGCCUUUGGAUGGGCCCGCGUUGGAUUAGCUAGUUGGUAGGGUAAAAGCCUACCAAGGCGACGAUCCAUAGCUGGUUUGAGAGGAUGAGCAGCCACACUGGGACUGAGACACGGCCCAGACUACUACGGGAGGCAGCAGUGGGGAAUAUUGGACAAUGGGCGAAAGCCUGAUCCAGCAAUGCCGCGUGAGUGAUGAAGGCCUUAGGGUUGUAAAGCUCUUUUACCCGGGAUGAUAAUGACAGUACCGGGAGAAUAAGCUCCGGCUAACUCCGUG
Molecule: ribosomal RNA, 433 nt
Filed under: uncultured bacterium
Lineage: Bacteria
Description: partial 16S ribosomal RNA
Rfam family: Bacterial small subunit ribosomal RNA
Source: RNAcentral